RNAcentral lists this ribosomal RNA (253 nucleotides) under uncultured bacterium. Its description in RNAcentral is "partial 16S ribosomal RNA". It matches the Rfam family "Bacterial small subunit ribosomal RNA", at positions 524 to 776 of the family's 1533-position model. The record is from RNAcentral.
UACGGAGGGGCCUAGCGUUGUUCGGAAUUACUGGGCGUAAAGAGCUCGUAGGUGGCUUGUCGCGUUGUCCGUGAAAACUCACAGCUCAACUGUGGGCGUGCGGGCGAUACGGGCAGACUGGAGUACUGCAGGGGAGACUGGAAUUCCUGGUGUAGCGGUGGAAUGCGCAGAUAUCAGGAGGAACACCGGUGGCGAAGGCGGUUCUCUGGGCAUUACCUGACGCUGAGGAGCGAAAGUGUGGGGAGCGAACAGG